CAAUUUGAAACACGUUAACUAAAACCCUAAAACAUAACAGAGCUAACUCCUCCUCCUCCUCCUCCUCCUCCUCCUCCUCCUCCUCCUCCUCCAUUGAAUCGCAGGUGAGCCACCGUAGUACAGUACAGUACAGUACAAUACAGGCAAUAAUAAUAAUGGGUAUAAUCAGGAGUUGUUUCUCUUUUAUAGCUGGAACUGUCACCGGAAUUUACGUCGCUCAGAAUUAUAAAGUACCUAACGUCGCCAAGGUCGCUGACACUUUCUUGUUCAUGGCCAAAGUCACCGAGGAAACAUAUCGCAAACCCAAGAACAACAACAACAAGGAUGAUGAUGAAUGAAUCAAUUAUUAGUUCCAGGUUAGCAACAAGUAGACUUAAUCAUUUGCAUAUACGGGAUCCAUGCUGCUACCAUUGUGAAGAUGUAAUUGAAACUGCACUUCACACUUUGAGGGACGACUGUCCGUUAGCAGUAAGUAUUUGGUUCAAUGUGGUGAAUAUUCAACAUAGAGACAUUUUCUUUAACACUAGUUUGCAGCAAUGGUUGUAUGUUAAUUUGAAUAUGAAUUUGGGAAGAGAUGGUUUCAUACAGUGGACUGAACUUUGGGCUAUAGGUUGUCAUUAUUUAUGGUUUUGGCGUAAAACAUUGAUGCAUCAUGGCAGUAGCGUAUUGCCGUUUCGUCCUUGGGAGGAGGUGCAACGUAGAUACUAUCUAUUUGUAUGCUCAUGUUUUAAGUAUUGACAUUGUUGUAUAUAAAGUGGCAGGCCCCUAGUGUAGGUUGGAUUCGUCUCAACACUGAUGGAGCGGCAAAGGUUGGGGCAAUUGCAGGGUGUGGUGGUGUUUUGAGAGGUAACAAUGUUGAGUGGAUUUUUGGUUUCUCAAAGAAUAUAGGCAUUUGCAGUGCUUAUGUAGCAGAGUUAUGGGGAGUGUUGGGGAGUGUUAGAAUGUUUGAAGCUUGCUAGGCUAAGGGGGGUUACAAAAAUAGAGAUGCAUGUUGACUCACAUGUGGUGGUUAAAACACUUCAAUCUAGAAGUGUUGGGUCUCCGGAUGCGAGGAUCUUAGUGCAAAGUAUUAUGAAGAUGCUUGCUUUGAAUUGGGAAGUUGUGAUUGAACAUACCAUCGCAAAGCUAAUACUUGGCCGAUGCGUUAGCAAAUUUGGCUUGUGACGAUGGUAGUGAUAUGAUAGUGUAUGACUAUUGUCCUCCUCAAGAUAGUUCUAGUUUUCAUGCUGAUUUUAUAGGAGUUUCAACUCCUCAGGUGUAAUUUCUUUCUUCUCUGGGCUUAGGCCCUCUUAUAUUCCAAAAAAAAAAAAACAGGAGGAUGGUUCAAAUUUGAAAUUCGGUUUGAUCUCGCUCGAUCCAAUGGUUAGGAUGUGCUGGCCUGCAUCAAAAUUUUAACAACAGUUAACCCGAUUUCUCAUUGUUUGAAUCUCUUUAACUCAAUGGAGAACAGCAAUGGAAUCCAUGGUGUAAAAGUAGAAGUAUAUGAUUGCAUGUCCAAUAGAAGAGGCAAAAUGCUCAAAAGAGAAAUUAAAGCUUGUGAUUAUACAUACAUACUUCCUAACGCAAACCACAAAACCAAUAUCAUCUCCCUCCUGUAGUGAUAGGUCCCACGCAUGUUGAUUCCACCAACACAAACACCCACAUUCUUCUGUUUGCUAUUGCCACCACGCAUGUUGAUUAUGCAGUGCAUUGUACACUAUACAGUAGUAGUACUACUACUACUAUUACUACUGUCGUAAUGUAAUCCCCCGCGCAACAGCGACAUUCCAUCUUUUAUUAUUCCUUUGUUUGUUACGACAGCUACCUAAUAUUGUCUAUGUCUAUGUGUGUAUUCUUCCUUUUUGUGUGAGUGGGAUGGUAAAGUAACAAAGAGACCUAUCUAUGACAUGCAUAUUAUUCA
RNA transcript from Trifolium pratense (red clover), 1900 nucleotides. RefSeq lists it as uncharacterized. NCBI's taxonomy places the organism in Eukaryota, Viridiplantae, Streptophyta, Magnoliopsida, Fabales, Fabaceae. The record is from RefSeq and is a predicted model, not a curated record. The transcript has 3 exons.